RNAcentral lists this RNase P RNA (348 nucleotides) under Halarsenatibacter silvermanii. Its description in RNAcentral is "Bacterial RNase P class A". It matches the Rfam family "Bacterial RNase P class A". Rfam says of the family: Ribonuclease P (RNase P) is a ubiquitous endoribonuclease, found in archaea, bacteria and eukarya as well as chloroplasts and mitochondria. Its best characterised activity is the generation of mature 5'-ends of tRNAs by cleaving the 5'-leader elements of precursor-tRNAs. Cellular RNase Ps are ribonucleoproteins. The record is from Rfam by way of RNAcentral. Lineage: Bacteria; Bacillati; Bacillota; Clostridia; Halanaerobiales; Halarsenatibacteraceae.
UAAGCUGGCCGGGUGAUCGCGGUGGUUUGGGCCACCGAGGAAAGUCCGGGCUCUACAGGGCAGAAGGCCGGGCAACUCCCGGCGGGGGAAACCCCGGGAAAGUGCCGCAGAAAAUAUACCGCCAGCUGUUCAGCUGGUAAGGGUGAAAUGGUGCGGUAAGAGCGCACCGGCCUUUCGGGAAACCGAAAGGGCCUGGCAAACCCCCUUCGGAGUAAGUCCAAAUAGGAAGGCAAUAAGAUGGCCCGUCUUGAUGCCUUCGGGUAUGGACGCUUGAGAGCUGCAGGCAACUGCAGCUCCAGAUAGAUGAUUACCCUUCGACAGAACCCGGCUUAUAGGCCAGCUUAACAU